GCAGAGGAGGCAGUGAAGGGCGAAGAAAACAAAAGAAAACAAAGAAAACAAAACGGAACGAAAAAUAAGAAAAAAGAAGCUCGACCCCAAAUAGAAGGUAAGAGGGUCGUCUGUUACCUGUCACCUGUUACCUGUUCACCUGCCCAUCGUCCACGUGAGCCAGGCGCCGCCCUCACCUCGGCGUGUGGUAAGAAAACCCGCCCUUCCAAAGACCGGAUGGAGCUCCUUGUGAUGUGAUGUUUGUAUAGGAGAAAUGUCACUCCUGUCCGUUCUUGACCUUGCUCCUCCCCUCGCGUCGUAAGAGUUGUGAACAGGGAUUAAGGGAAGGAAGGGUAACGCCGCGGAUGCAAAAGAGAGCCUGUGAUGAAGACGAAGCAGACACAACACACGCCAGGCAAAGGCAUCAGGGAAACAAAGUGAACGGAGAGGGGAUUCGAACCAAGGCUACUCAGACGCCCAGAUAACCACGCGCCACCGCCCAACACCUGCCAGCCUCUAUAAGGGAAGCCUGGUGGACGCGUGGUGCUGUUCGGUGAGGUGUUGACGGUGGCCGCUGUGAAGGUGCUGGUGUUGCUGGUCCCGCCGUGCUGAUAUUCACUCUGGGUUUUGUGUCCUCGGCUGCGAGUGGUCUGGUCCCAGGCUGGCGCGGUCGGUGCAGCUGCUGCCGGUGUUGCGACAGCGAGAGAGGACUUGCAACGCUUCGGGCACACACGCACAUCUCUGCUGGGCAAGUCUGCUGUGACUUCUCUGAUGAACAACUGUGAUUCCUGUGUUAGACUUUCUCGUUAGACUUGUGUGUCAAUAAUGUUGUUGAUCCUAAGCAGCCGAAGUUAUAAGUCCUAGACUUCCUCGUUUUUUUUUUUUAAUCAAAUUUUUCGGCGGGCUUUUGCGGAUAAAAUGUCCGGGCCUUCUUUUAGGUAUCGUAAGUAUAUUAAACGGCACAUUUCCUUUCCUGGAAGCUUGUAGUUAUCGAUAGCGACUGUAACCAAAAUAAACAAACAAACCUUAUGUU
Molecule: long non-coding RNA, 1012 nt
Organism: Eriocheir sinensis (Chinese mitten crab)
Lineage: Eukaryota; Metazoa; Arthropoda; Malacostraca; Decapoda; Varunidae
Exons: 9
Source: RefSeq, a predicted model, not a curated record